AAGAGGGCAAGGAGUAUCAGGUUAAUAGGAUGCUUCUGGUGGUAAAUGUGCAGAGGCCAGAUUACUGCAAGUAUUGUCAACCAAAUCAACAAUAAACCUUCUCAACACAAUGAAAAAUAAAAUGAAUAGCUGAUGAACUAAUGUGCAUAUAAUACACAGCUCAUCUCCAGAAUCUGUGCUAGACAAAUUCUUCCAACGCAUAAUAAUACAAAUUCAAGGUACUAACAAAUUACUAUAUGAGCACAUGAUGCCACUCAACACAGAAACUAAGAGAAAUUGAUAAGAAGUGCAGAAACAUGAAGGCAUUUAGUGCAAGAAUCAGGUCGACCAAACUUAGCAAUCAAGACUAAAAGAAACUAUCUAUGAACAACGAAUCAUAUCGACAACAUCAUUUAAUCCCUAAAUUCAGGCAGCACAAAGUAACAUUUGAAUUAUACAAUCUAGGCGUAAAUCCAGAUUCACUUAACCCUAAGCCGACAACGCAGAUCAAACCGUGAGAAUUCUAAUCAACGCAUCGCAUCGAAAAUAUACAACAAAAAACGAGGAGGACGAAAUGGAAAUCUGAUGCAACGAAAGAGCGAGAUCUAGAGGAAAAAACAGCAGGAAACUACGUACAGACGAAGGGGACGAUGCAGAGGAAAAGAAGAAGGCCGGGAGAUGCGGUCAAGACAUCGUUGACGGGAGGAUUAAGGACAACGACGGCGGAGAUAAGCGUGGUGAGGAGGAGCUGGGCUGAGAGAAUCCCAUAGACCUUGCGUAUGAAUCCCCAUCGGAGUUGAUUCUCGC
This 786-nucleotide long non-coding RNA is filed under the name Eutrema salsugineum. RNAcentral describes it as "long non-coding RNA (ESAL_LNC002156)". Lineage: Eukaryota; Viridiplantae; Streptophyta; Magnoliopsida; Brassicales; Brassicaceae. The record is from RNAcentral.